UGCAAGUCGAACGGUGAAAGAGGAGCUUGCUCCUCUGGAUCAGUGGCGAACGGGUGAGUAACACGUGAGUAACCUGCCCUUGACUCUGGGAUAAGCACUGGAAACGGUGUCUAAUACCGGAUACGAGCUUCAGCCGCAUGGCUAGGAGCUGGAAAGAAUUUCGGUCAAGGAUGGACUCGCGGCCUAUCAGCUAGUUGGUGAGGUAAUGGCUCACCAAGGCGACGACGGGUAGCCGGCCUGAGAGGGUGACCGGCCACACUGGGACUGAGACACGGCCCAGACUCCUACGGGAGGCAGCAGUGGGGAAUAUUGCACAAUGGGCGCAAGCCUGAUGCAGCAACGCCGCGUGAGGGACGACGGCCUUCGGGUUGUAAACCUCUUUUAGUAGGGAAGAAGCGAAAGUGACGGUACCUGCAGAAAAAGCACCGGCUAACUACGUGCCAGCAGCCGCGGUAAUACGUAGGGUGCAAGCGUUAUCCGGAAUUAUUGGGCGUAAAGAGCUCGUAGGCGGUUUGUCGCGUCUGCUGUGAAAACUGGAGGCUCAACCUCCAGCCUGCAGUGGGUACGGGCAGACUAGAGUGCGGUAGGGGAGAUUGGAAUUCCUGGUGUAGCGGUGGAAUGCGCAGAUAUCAGGAGGAACACCGAUGGCGAAGGCAGAUCUCUGGGCCGUAACUGACGCUGAGGAGCGAAAGCAUGGGGAGCGAACAGGAUUAGAUACCCUGGUAGUCCAUGCCGUAAACGUUGGGAACUAGAUGUAGGGGCCAUUCCACGGCUUCUGUGUCGCAGCUAACGCAUUAAGUUCCCCGCCUGGGGAGUACGGCCGCAAGGCUAAAACUCAAAGGAAUUGACGGGGGCCCGCACAAGCGGCGGAGCAUGCGGAUUAAUUCGAUGCAACGCGAAGAACCUUACCAAGGCUUGACAUAUACCCGGAAAAGUUCAGAAAUGUUCUCCCCGCAAGGCCGGUAUACAGGUGGUGCAUGGUUGUCGUCAGCUCGUGUCGUGAGAUGUUGGGUUAAGUCCCGCAACGAGCGCA
RNAcentral lists this ribosomal RNA (1033 nucleotides) under Frigoribacterium sp. 734H26. Its description in RNAcentral is "bacterial SSU rRNA". It matches the Rfam family "Bacterial small subunit ribosomal RNA", at positions 56 to 1100 of the family's 1533-position model. The record is from RNAcentral. Lineage: Bacteria; Bacillati; Actinomycetota; Actinomycetes; Micrococcales; Microbacteriaceae.